UCUUUACUUAGCGGCGGACGGGUGAGUAACACGUGGGCAACCUACCCUAUGGAGGGGAAUAACAGGGAGAAAUCUUUGCUAAUACCGCAUAGAUCCGAAGUUUUGCAUAAAGCUUUGGAGAAAGGAGAAAUCCGCCAUAGGAUGGGCCCGCGUCCCAUUAGCUAGUUGGUGAGAUAACAGCCCACCAAGGCGACGAUGGGUAGCCGACCUGAGAGGGUGAACGGCCACAUUGGAACUGAGACACGGUCCAGACUCCUACGGGAGGCAGCAGUGGGGAAUAUUGCACAAUGGGGGGAACCCUGAUGCAGCAACGCCGCGUGAGCGAUGAAGGUCUUCGGAUUGUAAAGCUCUGUCUUCGCUGACGAUAAUGACGGUAAGCGAGGAGGAAGCCACGGCUAACUACGUGCCAGCAGCCGCGGUAAUACGUAGGUGGCGAGCGUUGUCCGGAAUUACUGGGCGUAAAGGGUGCGUAGGCGGUUUUUUAAGUGGGAUGUGAAAUCCUGAGGCUUAACUUCAGAAUUGCAUUCCAAACUGGAAGGCUAGAGUACAGGAGAGGAAAGCGGAAUUCCCAGUGUAGCGGUGAAAUGCGUAGAGAUUGGGAGGAACACCAGUGGCGAAGGCGGCUUUCUGGACUGUAACUGACGCUGAGGCACGAAAGCGUGGGGAGCAAACAGGAUUAGAUACCCUGGUAGUCCACGCCG
RNAcentral lists this ribosomal RNA (701 nucleotides) under uncultured bacterium. RNAcentral describes it as "bacterial SSU rRNA". It matches the Rfam family "Bacterial small subunit ribosomal RNA", at positions 85 to 802 of the family's 1533-position model. The record is from RNAcentral.